This 321-nucleotide ribosomal RNA is filed under the name uncultured bacterium. RNAcentral's name for it is "bacterial SSU rRNA". It matches the Rfam family "Bacterial small subunit ribosomal RNA", at positions 28 to 352 of the family's 1533-position model. The record is from RNAcentral.
GACGAACGCUGGCGGCGUGCUUAACACAUGCAAGUCACGGGGGUCCCGUAGCAAUACGGGAUAACCGGCGAACGGGUGCGUAACACGUGAGCAACCUGCCGUACUCGAGGGGGAUAGCCGGCCCAACGGCCGGGUAAUACCGCAUACGAUUCUUCGGGGGAGUCCCCGGGGAAGGAAACCUCUGGGGGAGUACGAGGGGCUCGCGGCCUAUCAGCUAGUUGGUGCGGUAACGGCGCACCAAGGCGACGACGGGUAGCUGGCUGAGAGGAUGGCCAGCCACAUUGGGACUGAGAGACGGCCCAGACUCCUACGGGAGGCAGC